RNAcentral lists this transfer RNA (71 nucleotides) under Marmota monax (woodchuck). RNAcentral describes it as "tRNA.Ala". Lineage: Eukaryota; Metazoa; Chordata; Mammalia; Rodentia; Sciuridae. The record is from RNAcentral.
GGUUGUAGCUCAGUGGUAGAACGCUUGCCUAGCAUGUGCAAGGCCCUGGGUUUGAUCCUCAGCAACAAACA